This 516-nucleotide ribosomal RNA is filed under the name uncultured bacterium. RNAcentral's name for it is "bacterial SSU rRNA". It matches the Rfam family "Bacterial small subunit ribosomal RNA", at positions 19 to 518 of the family's 1533-position model. The record is from RNAcentral.
CUGGCUCAGAUUGAACGCUGGCGGCGUGCUUAACACAUGCAAGUCGCGCGUGAAAGGACUUCGGUCCGAGUAAAGCGGCGCACGGGUGAGUAACGCGUGGAUGAUCUACCCAUGAGUUGGGAAUAACGGCUGGAAACGGUCGCUAAUACCGAAUACGCUCCGAUUUCAUCUUCGGGGGAAAGGUGGCCUCUGCUUGCAAGCUACUGCUCAUGGAUGAGUCCGCGUCCCAUUAGCUAGUUGGUGGGGUAACGGCCCACCAAGGCGACGAUGGGUAGCCGGUCUGAGAGGAUGACCGGCCACACUGGGACUGGAACACGGCCCAGACUCCUACGGGAGGCAGCAGUGGGGAAUAUUGCGCAAUGGGCGAAAGCCUGACGCAGCGACGCCGCGUGAGGGGAAUGAAGGUCCUCGGAUCGUAAACCUCUGUCAGGAGGGAAGAACCGCCACGGUGCUAAUCAGCCGUGGUCUGACGGUACCUCCAAAGGAAGCACCGGCUAACUCCGUGCCAGCCGCCGC